AUGGCAGAUACUAAGCGGGGAGCGACCGCCAUGGCGCAGCGUCAGGAGGGUUCGGCGGAGGAGGGGGAGGAGCAUCGCCUGCGGGCGGCGCUGCGCCACCUGCAGGCGGAGGCCGGAGUGCUCGAGCGCCUUGUCUACAAGCACCGGAACCAGCACCGUGGCGCCGCCUACUUCCAGUACCUCCUCAAGGUGCGGAGGGACCUGAAGCUGCUUCUCAGUGCCAAUCUCGCAGAGGUCAUCAACGCGGUGUUCCCGGUCAUCACCUGUCGUAAGCCGGCAAACACCAUUCUUGUUCCGAACAGGCAGGGUAAGAGGAAGCCUGGUGCAAACCAUAGCCACUAUAAGAGGCUUUUGGGGGUCGCCCGUUUGCUGUCCCAGAUGGCUGAACCUGUUCUGAAGGGAGCAGUUCAGAUCAGCUUUUUACUUGCUAGAUCUUUUUUUAUAGAACUUUGCACUGCAGUGCUUGCUUUGCUUGCAAGAGUGAGGGUCCUGACCCAACAGAUGUUACUUGAUGUUGUAUCAAUAUACAAUAAGGUUACCGAUCUUACGGAUAAAAAGCAGGCUGUUAAGAUCAGUAUUGAUAAAGUACAGGCUUUCAGAGAGUACUACCCCUCGAGCAAUGAUCCCAGUACUAUCCUGGAGUGUGUAUGGGUGAAAGAUAAAUUUGUUUUGCAUGAAAAGACCAAAGCUAGCAGUCAGAAAACGCAAGAUGAGGAUCUGAAGUCGUGCACUCCAGAUUCAUCAAUCCAGUAUGAGACCCUUGGACUUGUUAGUGAAGAGACGGAAAACCUUGAUGGAGCAAACACCCCAGCCAAGCAACAGCAUGCUUCUCUGGCUGACCAACCAGAUAAAGCCACCCAUUGCGGCGAUGCCGGAGAUUCUCAGAGUGGGAGGCAACUACCAAAUGAUGAAAACACUCUGCGUUCUCUUCUUGGCACGCCUGCUGCUGCGCCGGCUCCACGCAGAGAUGUCGUCAAGCCUGAUACGAGGAAGAGAGUGGCAUUCAUCGCCGUGGGGAAAACAAAAGUCACCGUGACACCACCCGAAACAUCAUCCGUAGUUACCAAGAAGCAAAGGGUGGACACGAUUCGACAGACCACCACAGAUCCUGCUUUGUAA
This 1119-nucleotide ribosomal RNA is filed under the name Triticum aestivum (bread wheat). RNAcentral describes it as "partial small subunit ribosomal RNA". Lineage: Eukaryota; Viridiplantae; Streptophyta; Magnoliopsida; Poales; Poaceae. The record is from RNAcentral.